This 684-nucleotide ribosomal RNA is filed under the name uncultured bacterium. RNAcentral's name for it is "bacterial SSU rRNA". It matches the Rfam family "Bacterial small subunit ribosomal RNA", at positions 199 to 879 of the family's 1533-position model. The record is from RNAcentral.
CCUGUAAGCUAUCGCCUGAAGAGGGGUUUGCGUCUGAUUAGCUGGUUGGAGGGGUAACGGCCCACCAAGGCGACGAUCAGUAGCCGGUCUGAGAGGAUGAACGGCCACACUGGAACUGAGACACGGUCCAGACUCCUACGGGAGGCAGCAGUGGGGAAUCUUCCGCAAUGGGCGAAAGCCUGACGGAGCAACGCCGCGUGAGUGAUGACGGCCUUCGGGUUGUAAAACUCUGUGAUCCGGGACGAAAAGGCAGAGUGCGAAGAACAAACUGCAUUGACGGUACCGGAAAAGCAAGCCACGGCUAACUACGUGCCAGCAGCCGCGGUAAUACGUAGGUGGCAAGCGUUGUCCGGAAUUAUUGGGCGUAAAGCGCGCGCAGGCGGCUUCCCAAGUCCCUCUUAAAAGUGCGGGGCUUAACCCCGUGAUGGGAAGGAAACUGGGAAGCUGGAGUAUCGGAGAGGAAAGUGGAAUUCCUAGUGUAGCGGUGAAAUGCGUAGAGAUUAGGAAGAACACCGGUGGCGAAGGCGACUUUCUGGACGAAAACUGACGCUGAGGCGCGAAAGCGUGGGGAGCAAACAGGAUUAGAUACCCUGGUAGUCCACGUCGUAAACGAUGGAUACUAGGUGUAGGAGGUAUCGACCCCUCCUGUGCCGGAGUUAACGCAAUAAGUAUCCCGCCUGGGAA